AUUUUAUUUUUUUCAGAAAAAAAUCUUAAAACAGGGAAUUACAUUUUUUGGAAAAUAAAAAUCAAGCUAUUAUUUCGUUCACCAAAAAAUAAAUGCUGAUUUUAGAAUAUUUUUCAUUUUUAUGGAUCCUUAAAUUGGGAAUACGUGUUUGAAAGGUCCAAGAUUGGUCUGAAACCUCGCGUCAGUCACAUGGAAAUGGCGUAAUUGUAAUCUCAGUGGAAUCGAUCAUAAUCGAUUACGUCGUCUCAAGUCUAAUCAAAUCGUCUACCGAGUUUCUUGACUUUAUUUUGAAAUGGGAAAAAAAUGAAUGAAGAUAAUGACAGCGUUAUUUGGGCUCCAAAUAUCUGUUUUGGAGCCAGCCCUCCUAAAUCAAACUCAGAGACAUCUAGGAAAAUCAAAAUUUGCAUGAUUCUGGAGGUGGGUCUCUCACAUUAGGCUGAUUCGCAUCUGGGUAUGGGCUUAAAUCGUCCAAAUUUAGCCAUGGAUAAUGCCAUGUACUCAGAGGAAUUGGCUGUUGCCGUUAGAGUUGUCCAUAUGGCGUGUUGUUUGUGCCAGAGAGUGCAGGAUGGGUUGGUUGGGACGAGCAGUGAGCAGGUGAAGUCCAAGGAUGAUGAUUCACCUGUUACAGUUGCAGAUUGGAGUGUGCAAGCAACUGUUAGCUGGAUAUUGGCGGAAGUGUUUGGAAGUCAAAAUGUGUCCAUUGUUGCAGAAGAAGAGAUCCAAACUCUUUCCAAACCUGAUUCAGCCGAUUUAUUGGAAGCGGUGGUGAACACAGUUAAUGAAUGCUUAUCUGAAGCACCUAAGUUUGGUCUCAAAUGCCCAGAUAAAGCCCUCAGGACAUCACAAGUUCUUGAUGCCAUCAGCCGAUGCAACUCAACUGGAGGGCCCAAGGGAAGGCAUUGGAUACUUGACCCUGUUGAUGGAACAUUAGGGUUUGUACGAGGGGAUCAGUAUGCUGUAGCUCUAGCCUUGAUUGAGGAUGGAAAGGUUGUCAUUGGAGUUCUUGGUUGCCCUAAUUACCCAAUGAACAAGGAAUGGCUAAAUUACCACAAUAAAUUCUACCAAGCUAUGUCAAAACAGUCCCCACCCGCUUCUGAUUCAUGGGAGAAGGGAUGUGUUAUGUAUGCAAGGAGAGGAAGUGGUGAAGCAUGGAUGCAGCCAAUGGUCCUGGGAGAUCAGAAGCUUGAGUGGCCAAACUCUGCAAGAUUGAUUAAAGUUUCUUCCAUUGACAAUCCAGCAAUGGCUACUUUUUGUGAACCGGUGGAGAAGGCAAAUUCAAACCACUCCUUCACAAAGGGACUUGUUCACAGUGUUGGGCUUAGAAAGCAGCCUUUGCGCGUCUAUAGCAUGGUGAAGUAUGCAGCCAUAGCCCGGGGAGAUGCUGAGAUUUUUAUGAAGUUUGCAAGAGCUGGAUACAAGGAGAAGAUAUGGGAUCAUGCUGCUGGUGUCCUCAUUGUAGAAGAGGCUGGUGGUGUGGUAACUGAUGCUGGAGGGCGUCCACUGGACUUCUCGAGGGGAAUAUACCUAGAAGGUCUUGAUCGGGGCAUCAUUGUUUGCUCUGGUGCUGCACUGCAUGAGAAAAUCAUUGGUGCUGUUUAUGCUAGCUGGGACUCUUCCAAUCUUUGAGGCCUUUGGUACUUGGCCAAUACAUCAAUGCAGCCAUAUUUUGAUACUUUUGAUAGGGGAAAGGACAGAUGAGAAGACAUUAGACAGUGUUCAUUCAUGUGAUUUUGAUAAUGCUCCAUACAAUUCUCAGGAGUUGAGUUGAGGAGACAUAAAAGAGGUAUUUUGCUUUUUUCCUUUCUACCUCAUUGAAGAGCAUGAUUUUUAGUUCAAUUGCUCUGUUCUUCAUCACUGGUAUGUUGAGGUGUAGGAUUUAUACUCAUAAAUCAAUCCCAGACUGUAAUUCAUAUCUGGUGCUGAAAUUAAGGCUGCAACUGGAGGAAUAUAUUGAGUUCAUAAUCA
RNA transcript from Vitis vinifera (wine grape), 1965 nucleotides. It is a transcript of the gene named PAP-specific phosphatase HAL2-like, with no coding region annotated. The record is from RefSeq and is a predicted model, not a curated record. Lineage: Eukaryota; Viridiplantae; Streptophyta; Magnoliopsida; Vitales; Vitaceae. The transcript is spliced from 4 exons.